Molecule: ribosomal RNA, 468 nt
Filed under: uncultured bacterium
Lineage: Bacteria
Description: partial 16S ribosomal RNA
Rfam family: Bacterial small subunit ribosomal RNA
Source: RNAcentral
GACGAACGCUGGCGGCGUGCUUAACACAUGCAAGUCGAACGGAAAGGCCCUGCUUUUGUGGGGUGCUCGAGUGGCGAACGGGUGAGUAACACGUGAGUAACCUGCCCUUGACUUUGGGAUAACUUCAGGAAACUGGGGCUAAUACCGGAUAGGAGCUCCUGCUGCAUGGUGGGGGUUGGAAAGUUUCGGCGGUUGGGGAUGGACUCGCGGCUUAUCAGCUUGUUGGUGGGGUAGUGGCUGACCAAGGCUUUGACGGGUAGCCGGCCUGAGAGGGUGACCGGCCACGUUGGGACUGAGAUACGGCCCAGACUCCUACGGUACGCAGCGGUGGGGAAUAUUGCACAAUGGGCGGAAGCCUGAUGCAGCAACGCCGCGUGCGGGAUGACGGCCAUCGGGUUGUAAACCGCAUUCGCCUGUGACGAAGCGUGAGUGACGGUAAUGGGUAAAGAAGCACCGGCUAACUACGUG